CUACGGGUUGCACCAGUGAGGAAUUUUGCGCAAUGGGGGCAACCCUGACGCAGCAACGCCGCGUGAGUGAAGAAGGCCUUUGGGUCGUAAAGCUCUGUCAACAGGGAAGAAGUUAUUUAUGGUUAAUAGCUGUAGAUAUUGACGGUACCUGUGGAGGAAGCAUCGGCUAACUCCGUGCCAGCAGCCGCGGUAAUACGGGGGAUGCAAGCGUUAUUCGGAAUCAUUGGGCGUAAAGGGCACGCAGGCGGCUCUGUCAGUCAGAUGUGAAAGCCCGGGGCUCAACCCCGGACGUGCAUUUGAAACAGCAGAGCUUGAGUACGGUAGAGGAAAGCGGAAUUCCUGGUGUAGAGGUGAAAUUCGUAGAUAUCAGGAGGAACACCGGUGGCGAAGGCGGCUUUCUGGACCGAAACUGACGCUGAGGUGCGAAGGCGUGGGUAGCGAACAGGAUUAGAUACCCGCGUAGUC
Molecule: ribosomal RNA, 465 nt
Filed under: uncultured bacterium
Lineage: Bacteria
Description: partial 16S ribosomal RNA
Rfam family: Bacterial small subunit ribosomal RNA
Source: RNAcentral